Non-coding RNA from Trichonephila inaurata madagascariensis, 86 nucleotides. NCBI's taxonomy places the organism in Eukaryota, Metazoa, Arthropoda, Arachnida, Araneae, Nephilidae. The record is from the annotation of a GenBank genome assembly.
UUCACUGUAGCGCAAUGGAUAGCGCGUUGGACUUCUAAUCCAAAGGUAGUGGAUAAUUUUACCUCGGCCCGCUGGGGGAGGGGAAG